RNAcentral lists this ribosomal RNA (499 nucleotides) under uncultured proteobacterium OCS98. RNAcentral describes it as "SSU rRNA". It matches the Rfam family "Bacterial small subunit ribosomal RNA", at positions 8 to 504 of the family's 1533-position model. The record is from RNAcentral. Lineage: Bacteria; Pseudomonadati; Pseudomonadota; Betaproteobacteria; Burkholderiales; Comamonadaceae.
AGAGUUUGAUCCUGGCUCAGAUUGAACGCUGGCGGCAUGCCUUACACAUGCAAGUCGAACGGUAACAGGUCUUCGGAUGCUGACGAGUGGCGAACGGGUGAGUAAUACAUCGGAACGUGCCCGAUCGUGGGGGAUAACGCAGCGAAAGCUGUGCUAAUACCGCAUACGAUCUACGGAUGAAAGCGGGGGAUCGCAAGACCUCGCGCGGACGGAGCGGCCGAUGGCAGAUUAGGUAGUUGGUGAGGUAAAGGCUCACCAAGCCGUCGAUCUGUAGCUGGUCUGAGAGGACGACCAGCCACACUGGGACUGAGACACGGCCCAGACUCCUACGGGAGGCAGCAGUGGGGAAUUUUGGACAAUGGGCGCAAGCCUGAUCCAGCCAUGCCGCGUGCAGGAUGAAGGCCUUCGGGUUGUAAACUGCUUUUGUACGGAACGAAACGGUCUUUUCUAAUAAAGAAGGCUAAUGACGGUACCGUAAGAAUAAGCACCGGCUAACUAC